Molecule: long non-coding RNA, 362 nt
Filed under: Linum usitatissimum (flax)
Lineage: Eukaryota; Viridiplantae; Streptophyta; Magnoliopsida; Malpighiales; Linaceae
Description: long non-coding RNA (LUSI_LNC002261)
Source: RNAcentral
GCAAUCUAAACAAAGGCAUCCCGACUCCCGAGCAGCAGAGGUUCACACGAGGUACAGCUCACCUGAUUUUACAGAUCAGGUUAAUCUCGAGGAGAGGAAUCUAGUACAACUUUUAUCGAUUUACAUUUUUCAAUCAUAUGGACCGAACUCAAGGGAGAAUGAUUUUUCUAGGCAAUUGAUGAGAGUCGAGACCUGCUCCGUCUCCAUGGUGAUGGUGGUCGUGAUCGUGGAAGAUAAGCGUCAAGAUUCCUACCAAACAUAGAACAGAGCCCACGAGAAGUUUGUCAUACCGUUCCACCCAAUGGAACUUGAUCUGACUCGCGCCGUAGAAGGACAGUGCCACCAGUGAGGUCAUUACGGUA